RNAcentral lists this unclassified non-coding RNA (293 nucleotides) under Hevea brasiliensis (rubber tree). The record is from RNAcentral. Lineage: Eukaryota; Viridiplantae; Streptophyta; Magnoliopsida; Malpighiales; Euphorbiaceae.
AUUUGGUUUCUUCCAAAAGCCUUCAGUUCAAUCUUCACCUCCCAAAUGAGCUACUCAAACCCCUAAUCCAAUAAUUAUAAUCUUCUUCCCCAAUCUAGAUUUGCGUCUCCGCCAAUGUCAACGCAAACCACCGCCUCUACAACCGCCUCCUCGGCGGAGAGUGAAUCCCACGCUCCGCUCCUCCUCCCCCGCCAAGAAGCCCCCUCCUCCCCUCCCGUCCGCCCAACUUCCUUCGCGGUUCUUCUCGGCCGGGCCACUGGCCGCCGCGGACCUUCCAUGUUAGUCAGAGAGAG